Molecule: ribosomal RNA, 323 nt
Filed under: uncultured eukaryote
Lineage: Eukaryota
Description: partial 18S ribosomal RNA
Rfam family: Eukaryotic small subunit ribosomal RNA
Source: RNAcentral
CCCUUAGAUGUUCUGGGCCGCACGCGUGCUACACUGAACGGUUCAAUGGGUAAGGUAGUGCGAAAGCAUGACCUAAUCUCGAAAUCCGUUCGUGCUGGGGAUAGAAGCUUGCAAUUAUCCUUCUUGAACGAGGAAUACCUUGUAAGCGUGAGUCAUCAUCUCACGCUGAAUACGUCCCUGCCCUUUGUACACACCGCCCGUCGCUCCUACCGAUUGAGUGUUCCGGUGAGGCUUUGGGAGAAUGGCCUCAACAUGAGUUUAUCGUGUUUUGCCGUUUGGACUUAGUCAAACCUUAUCACUUAGAGGAAGGAGAAGUCGUAACA